GAUGAACGCUGGCUACAGGCUUAACACAUGCAAGUCGAGGGGAAACGACGGGGAAGCUUGCUUCCCCGGGCGUCGACCGGCGCACGGGUGAGUAACGCGUAUCCAACCUGCCUCUGACUGAGGGAUAACCCGUCGAAAGUCGGCCUAAUACCUCAUGGUAUCGUCUGCGGGCAUCCAACGACGAUUAAAGAUUUCAUCGGUCAGGGAUGGGGAUGCGUCUGAUUAGCUUGUUGGCGGGGUAACGGCCCACCAAGGCUACGAUCAGUAGGGGUUCUGAGAGGAAGGUCCCCCACAUUGGAACUGAGACACGGUCCAAACUCCUACGGGAGGCAGCAGUGAGGAGUAUUGGUCAAUGGGCGAGAGCCUGAACCAGCCAAGUAGCGUGCAGGAAGACGGCCCUAUGGGUUGUAAACUGCUUUUAUGCGGGGAUAAAGUGAGGGACGUGUCCCUCAUUGCAGGUACCGCAUGAAUAAGGACCGGCUAAUUCCGUG
RNAcentral lists this ribosomal RNA (491 nucleotides) under uncultured bacterium. RNAcentral's name for it is "partial 16S ribosomal RNA". It matches the Rfam family "Bacterial small subunit ribosomal RNA", at positions 28 to 507 of the family's 1533-position model. The record is from RNAcentral.